GGAUUAGAUACCCUGGUAGUCCACGCCGUAAACGAUGGAUACUAGUUGUUUGGGGAGUUAACCCCCUGAGUGACGCAGCUAACGCAUUAAGUAUCCCGCCUGGGGAGUACGGUCGCAAGGCUAAAACUCAAAGGAAUUGACGGGGGCCCGCACAAGCGGUGGAGUAUGUGGUUUAAUUCGAAGCAACGCGCAGAACCUUACCUUCCCUUGACAUCCCGGGACAACCUCAGAGAUGAGGCUUUCUCUUCGGAGACUCGGUGACAGAUGCUGCAUGGCUGUCGUCAGCUCGUGCCG
Molecule: ribosomal RNA, 294 nt
Filed under: uncultured bacterium
Lineage: Bacteria
Description: partial 16S ribosomal RNA
Rfam family: Bacterial small subunit ribosomal RNA
Source: RNAcentral